CCUACGGGAGGCAGCAGUGGGGAAUAUUGCACAAUGGGGGGAACCCUGAUGCAGCGACGCCGCGUGAGUGAAGAAGUAUUUCGGUAUGUAAAGCUCUAUCAGCAGGGAAGAAAAUGACGGUACCUGACUAAGAAGCCCCGGCUAACUACGUGCCAGCAGCCGCGGUAAUACGUAGGGGGCAAGCGUUAUCCGGAUUUACUGGGUGUAAAGGGAGCGUAGACGGUGAAGCAAGUCUGAUGUGAAAGGGCAGGGCCUAACCCCGGGACUGCAUUGGAAACUGUGGAGCUGGAGUGCAGGAGAGGUAAGCGGAAUUCCUAGUGUAGCGGUGAAAUGCGUAGAUAUUAGGAGGAACACCAGUGGCGAAGGCGGCUUACUGGACUGUAACUGACGUUGAGGCUCGAAAGCGUGGGGAGCAAACAGGAUUAGAUACCCCAGUAGUC
This 440-nucleotide ribosomal RNA is filed under the name uncultured bacterium. RNAcentral describes it as "partial 16S ribosomal RNA". It matches the Rfam family "Bacterial small subunit ribosomal RNA", at positions 338 to 795 of the family's 1533-position model. The record is from RNAcentral.